Molecule: ribosomal RNA, 254 nt
Filed under: uncultured prokaryote
Description: partial 16S ribosomal RNA
Rfam family: Bacterial small subunit ribosomal RNA
Source: RNAcentral
UACGUAGGCAGCAAGCGUUGUUCGGAGUUACUGGGCGUAAAGAGCGCGUAGGCGGCUCGUUAAGUGUGAAGUGAAAUCUCCAGGGCUCAACCCGGAAACUGCUUCGCAUACUGGCGAGCUGGAGUGACGAAGAGGUUUGUGGAAUUCCUGGUGUAGCGGUGAAAUGCGUUGAUAUCAGGAGGAACACCGAUGGCGAAGGCAGCAAACUGGUCGUCAACUGACGCUGAGGCGCGAAAGCGUGGGUAGCAAACAGG